RNAcentral lists this ribosomal RNA (253 nucleotides) under uncultured bacterium. RNAcentral's name for it is "partial 16S ribosomal RNA". It matches the Rfam family "Bacterial small subunit ribosomal RNA", at positions 524 to 776 of the family's 1533-position model. The record is from RNAcentral.
UACAUGGGGUGCAAACGUUGCUCGGAGUCAUUGGGCGUAAAGCGCGCGUAGGCGGUUACUUAAGUCGAAUGUGAAAGCCCUCGGCUUAACUGAGGAAGUGCAUCCGAAACUGAGUAGCUAGAGUACGAAAGAGGGUCGCGGAAUUCCCGGUGUAGAGGUGAAAUUCGUAGAUAUCGGGAGGAACACCGGUGGCGAAGGCGGCGACCUGGGUCGAGACUGACGCUGAGGCGCGAAAGCGUGGGGAGCAAACAGG